GGUUUGUGAGAUCCUGGCUCAGGAUGAACGCUGGCGGCGUGCCUAAUACAUGCAAGUCGAGCGAACUGAUUAGAAGCUUGCUUCUAUGACGUUAGCGGCGGACGGGUGAGUAACACGUGGGCAACCUGCCUGUAAGACUGGGAUAACUUCGGGAAACCGAAGCUAAUACCGGAUAGGAUCUUCUCCUUCAUGGGAGAUGAUUGAAAGAUGGUUUCGGCUAUCACUUACAGAUGGGCCCGCGGUGCAUUAGCUAGUUGGUGAGGUAACGGCUCACCAAGGCAACGAUGCAUAGCCGACCUGAGAGGGUGAUCGGCCACACUGGGACUGAGACACGGCCCAGACUCCUACGGGAGGCAGCAGUAGGGAAUCUUCCGCAAUGGACGAAAGUCUGACGGAGCAACGCCGCGUGAGUGAUGAAGGCUUUCGGGUCGUAAAACUCUGUUGUUAGGGAAGAACAAGUACAAGAGUAACUGCUUGUACCUUGACGGUACCUAACCAGAAAGCCACGGCUAACUACGUGCCAGCAGCCGCGGUAAUACGUAGGUGGCAAGCGUUAUCCGGAAUUAUUGGGCGUAAAGCGCGCGCAGGCGGUUUCUUAAGUCUGAUGUGAAAGCCCACGGCUCAACCGUGGAGGG
Molecule: ribosomal RNA, 635 nt
Filed under: Priestia aryabhattai
Lineage: Bacteria; Bacillati; Bacillota; Bacilli; Caryophanales; Bacillaceae
Description: bacterial SSU rRNA
Rfam family: Bacterial small subunit ribosomal RNA
Source: RNAcentral